UACGUAGGGUGCAAGCGUUGUCCGGAAUUAUUGGGCGUAAAGAGCUCGUAGGCGGUUUGUCACGUCGGAUGUGAAACCCUGAGGCUCAACCUCAGGCCUGCAUUCGAUACGGGCAGACUAGAAUUCGGCAGGGGAGACUGGAAUUCCUGGUGUAGCGGUGAAAUGCGCAGAUAUCAGGAGGAACACCAAUAGCGAAGGCAGCUCGCUGGGACGGUACUGACGCUAAGGCGCGAAAGCGUGGGGAGCGAACAGG
This 253-nucleotide ribosomal RNA is filed under the name uncultured bacterium. RNAcentral describes it as "partial 16S ribosomal RNA". It matches the Rfam family "Bacterial small subunit ribosomal RNA", at positions 524 to 776 of the family's 1533-position model. The record is from RNAcentral.